This 3597-nucleotide long non-coding RNA is filed under the name Homo sapiens (human). Its description in RNAcentral is "non-protein coding lnc-NPC1-2:1". Lineage: Eukaryota; Metazoa; Chordata; Mammalia; Primates; Hominidae. The record is from RNAcentral.
UGGUCAUGGACCCCCACUGUUCCUAGAUCCCAGUACUGUGCUGUUCUUUGUAGAUGCCCUACACCCAGGCCUCAGCUUAAUAGUCUCUUUAUUACACUUUCUUCCAAUUAUCCCAAUCUGAAUGUACCAUCUGUUCCUUGCCAGAACUCGGGCUGCUGUCAAGUCUUGGGCAUCUGUGAACUGGCCAUCUUGGUCUUAUUUGGGUUUUACGGGGCUGGUUCCUACAUCACAGUGGGAAAACUGUAGGGCAGAAACACCAGUUGUCACCGUGGCCAACACGGAGAAACCCGCCUCUACUAAAAAUACAAAAAUUAGCUGGGCGUGGUGGCAGGCGCCUGUAAUCCCAGCUACUCAGGAGGCUGAGGCAAGAGAAUCACUUGAACCUGGGAGGCGGGGGUUGCAGUGAGCUGAGAUCGUGCCAUCCCACUCCAGCCUGGGAGGCGAGACUUCGACUCAAAAAAAAAAAAUACCAUAGAGCACCACUAAGAAGCCAUUAGCUUUUUGUUACUUCGUUACUUCGUUACUUUACCGAUACUUUUUACAUAAAGCCAACAAGACUUUCACAAAACUAGCAUGGCCAUUGACAGAAGUCAACAAAAGCCAGAUGACAGCCUAACAUUGAAUUAUCGUAAUGUUAUUUUAAUAUCUAACACUUACUGAACGAAUAUCUACCAUUACUAUGUUAACCAUAUUGCCUGACUUAUCUCAUUCAGUAAUUUAAUCAGGUGGAUACUUUUAUUAUUCCCCCAUAUUUCAGAUGAAGAGAAUGAGACUUAAGGGUUACAUGAUGUGCCCAAGAUCAUACUGUCAGUGACUACUCAGCAAUACUGCCUUCCUACAAAAUCCCGUAGAUGAAAAUAACACGAAGCCUCCAAAAUUCACUUAAUUACCCUAUACCUAAUGAGCCUCCCCUGUGUGCAGAGUCACCUGUCUCUCUCAUCAUCCACUUCUGAGCAGCAGGUUGCUGAAUAUGCAGAGGUGGUAGCUAAGAUUACAAUUUCAAGUGCUUGAAAACAACUGUAAGUCAAACUGCAAAUGCCCACUUCAAUUAGAAGGGUCCAUAUCACAUGGUACACCUCAGGUCCUUGAAUCUUAAAGCUGGGACAGACUUUGGUGAUCAUCCCAUCCAACCGCUCAUUUUAAAAAUGAAAUAAAUGAGUCCAAGUAAUUGUAAGCAACUUGCCCAGGUUACACUGUUGGUCAGUGACAGCUACCUGGGUUUAGCCCCCACAGCUCCUGACUCUCAACUCUGUAGUCUCUCAUUUCACCUGGUGCCAUACAUCUUUACCUGAAUCAUUUUGAAGAUGAAGACUUUUAAAUAUGGAAAAUCAGAUGGUACCAUUUAAUUUUUCUUUUGCAUUAAUAGCAAUGUUUUGGCUCAGGAAUCAUUUAAUAGGAAUCAUAAAAUGAGAGCAAUAUAUCAUCGCUGCCUUAAAAUGCAGUAACUAUGGUUCAUUUGGACUGUGCUUCUGAAGGUAAUGGAAGUAAGUGAAUUUUUACAUCGAAAAUUCCAACCUCAGCAAUUUGUCACUUUGCUUUUUCCCAUCUAGGCUGCAUGAUGAGAUUAUUCAUGACCACUUUUAUCACUGCAGGGAAUUUUGCCCUUGGAUGUGUUCUGAGUGGAGCUGACAUCUCUGCAGCAUCUUCUCUAGGACCCUUCUCUCUGACAUAGCAGUGGCCUAACUCUUCAUCUGUCUCUCCUCCAUCCAGCAUGGCACCACACUCCUGAUGGUUGCUGCCUACGCUGGCCACAUAGACUGUGUGAGGGAACUGGUUCUGCAAGGAGCAGACAUCAAUCUCCAGAGAGAGGACGGGGGCACCGCCCUGUUGGCUGCCAGUCAGUACGGGCACAUGCAGGUGGUGGAGACCUUGCUGAAGCACGGAGCAAACAUCCAUGACCAACUUUAUGAUGGAGCCACUGCCCUCUUCCUAGCUGCCCAAGGUGGUUACUUGGAUGUUAUUCGAUUACUGCUGGCUUCAGGAGCAAAAGUCAACCAGCCAAGGACGGGACAGCGCCCCUGUGGAUCGCGUCCCAGAUGGGCCACAGCGAGGUGGUGCGGGUGAUGCUGCUGCGCGGAGCCGACCGCGACGCUGCGCGGAACGAUGGCACAACAGCAUUAUUGAAAGCAGCCAACAAAGGGUAUAAUGAUGUCAUAAAAGAGUUGCUUAAAUUCUCACCCACUCUUGGUAUUUUGAAGAAUGGGACAUCAGCGCUCCAUGCAGCAGUGCUCAGUGGAAACAUUAAAACAGUUGCGCUGCUCCUAGAAGCAGGGGCAGACCCAUCCCUGAGAAACAAGGCCAAUGAACUUCCGGCAGAACUAACCAAAAAUGAACGUAUAUUGCGUCUCCUGAGAAGUAAAGAAGGUCCCAGAAAGAGCUAACUUAGCUCCAUAUUUGACAGAAAGAUAGAAAGCUUAACCACAUUGUCCAAAAAGAAAUUGCAUUUCAAGCAGUGUUGGAAAUUCUUUUAUGAAAAAAAAAGAUGCCCAGAAUGCCCAUCCUGUGGGUCCCUGACAAAGAAGAGCUACGCUCUGUGCACGAAGUCAAGAACCAAACAGCUCAGGGACCCUCUUGCCCCUUCACCAUGGACUUCUCAUGGUGUCCUGUAACUCAUCUCCCGGGGGGCCUGGCAUGUUCACAGAUUCCACAGAAACUCAUUUUCAACAAUGCUAACUUGGACCUGUCAGUUAAACUCUAAGGUGGACAGGGUUCUCAGUACUAAGCAAGGAGACAGAAUGCUUUGUUCCUUUAAAAGACUGAAAAGCUGACCUUCAAUGGAUUGAGGCACUUUUGCUUUUGUGUUAAAUGUAGAUGUGCUAAAAUAUAUAGAUCUAUCAUAUUUUACCUACAUAUGUAUGUCAUUCCAGUAUAAAACAUUCUCCUCUACCCAAGAACCAUAGCCAUGAUUGUUAUAAAUCAAUGAAGUGUAAACAUACAUUAUUAAAAAACCACUUCUGACAUUCCAUUAUGUGCUAUUCAAAGAUGGACUAUUGAACUAUAGAAAAGACAGACUGUGCAUUUGUUCGUUGAUCCUCAUCUUAUUCCUGACAUGUAAAAAUCAAUUUUACGUAGAGUCAACAUUGUAGGUAGGUUAAAAUACCAGUGGCAAAUUUGGAAAUUCAGAAACUUAUAAACCACGAGAAAUAUAUAGGCUUGUCUCUUUGGUCUUUUAUUUUGGCUCUAUUGUUGGGAAUCUAUUUCCUAUUCUAUAAGUAAGUAUACCUAACAUGCUGUGGAAUCUUGAGUUUCCAACACCGUGCUGCUUGAUAGAAUGACUUUGAGGUCCUUGGAUAAAAUGUGAUAUAUGCAAGUACAGUAUGUUGCUAUUACUAUUGCAGGAAUAUAAAUAAUAAAAGACUGUUAUUAGCACUUAGUAAGUCUUCAUCUAUGCAUGUUUUUGAGUUGACUGAUUCCAAGAAUGAAAUAUGAGGUUUAUUGAAUUAUUCCUUUGAAAGGGAUCAAAACUUAUAUUCAAUGCACUUUAUAAUUAAUGGUGUCUAAAUGCCUCAGUCAGUGCCUAACUGCACAUACAAAAAUAAAACCUUCUUUCUGUAAUCUACCAAAAUAAACGCAAUGGUAUUUCUGCUAUUUAAACAC